Molecule: unclassified non-coding RNA, 252 nt
Filed under: Hevea brasiliensis (rubber tree)
Lineage: Eukaryota; Viridiplantae; Streptophyta; Magnoliopsida; Malpighiales; Euphorbiaceae
Source: RNAcentral
CUUUACCUUUUCCCUGUUUUUUCUACUUUUUUUUUGGAAAACUACAUCCAUUUGAAACACCAAUAAUAAUUCUGUUAAAGACAAAGUUUGUGAGAACAUGGUUAAUUAAUUACAACAAUUGCAUUCUGCCACACAUGGGGGAAAAAGAAGUAGAAAAAACAGGGAAAAGGUAAAGAAAAUUAUUAAGAAACAAGCAAUUGUCACCUUGCAUUGGUACCCCCUUGUCUAUUCAAGCGCCCAGAUGCUGGAUAA